RNAcentral lists this ribosomal RNA (302 nucleotides) under uncultured bacterium. RNAcentral's name for it is "partial 16S ribosomal RNA". It matches the Rfam family "Bacterial small subunit ribosomal RNA", at positions 508 to 807 of the family's 1533-position model. The record is from RNAcentral.
GCAGUCGCCACGGUAAAACGAAGGGGGCUAGCGUUGCUCGGAAUCACUGGGAGUAAAGGGUGCGUAGGCGGGUUUUUAAGUCAGAGGUGAAAUCCUGGAGCUCAACUCCAGAACUGCCUUUGAUACUGAAAGUCUUGAGUAUGGGAGAGGUGAGUGGAACUGCGAGUGUAGAGGUGAAAUUCGUAGAUAUUCGCAAGAACACCAGUGGCGAAGGCGGCUCACUGGCCCAUAACUGACGCUGAGGCACGAAAGCGUGGGGAGCAAACAGGAUUAGAUACCCCCGUAGUCCCUGUCUCUUAUAC